GGAACAGUUUUCAGCAGAGCAUCAAGAGAAGAGCAACUAGUUACUGAGGAAGGAGAUAGACAAACUGCUGGAGGAAAAUAAUUCAUCUGACAGCAAAGAUGCAGUGGAGUCUGAUUCUGCUCUUCCUGAUGGCUCAGUGUUGCUUCAUUGACUGUCAGCUCUAUCAGUUUCACUACAUUAAUGAGAAUAAAACCUGGACUGAAGCUCAGCA
Xiphophorus maculatus (southern platyfish) is the source of this 211-nucleotide long non-coding RNA. RefSeq lists it as uncharacterized. The record is from RefSeq and is a predicted model, not a curated record. Lineage: Eukaryota; Metazoa; Chordata; Actinopteri; Cyprinodontiformes; Poeciliidae. The transcript is spliced from 3 exons.